This is a long non-coding RNA of Chionomys nivalis (European snow vole), 348 nucleotides long. RefSeq lists it as uncharacterized. The record is from RefSeq and is a predicted model, not a curated record. The transcript is spliced from 3 exons. Lineage: Eukaryota; Metazoa; Chordata; Mammalia; Rodentia; Cricetidae.
CUUCCUGCUGCUAGAAUCGGUUCCUGUUUCCGGUCCAUGCAGAGGACUAUGAUCUAACCUGAGGCAGCAGCAAUCUCACUGCAAGAGGAAAUCAGUCGCAAUGAGACUGUAGAUAACUCACAGCAGGACUCUGCUAUACACUCUGCGUGACUUUCCAAGUCAUCUCUCUUCAGACUCUUCCUGUUCAACCAGUGGAUAAAUCUUACCUAACAUUUUGUAGUAGCUGUAUUUUAAGCAAAAUGGAUGGCAAUAUUGACAGAAACUUCAAAACUAAGUGAUCAAUACUUAAUUAAAUGAAUGAAUUAAAAUAAAUUACAAAUAAUUCUGGUGGUUUGAAAAAGUUAAAUA